Molecule: ribosomal RNA, 254 nt
Filed under: uncultured bacterium
Lineage: Bacteria
Description: partial 16S ribosomal RNA
Rfam family: Bacterial small subunit ribosomal RNA
Source: RNAcentral
UACGAAGGGUGCAAACGUUGCUCGGAAUCAUUGGGCGUAAAGCGCACGUAGGCGGCUUGCCAAGUCGGACGUGAAAUCCCUCAGCCUCAACUGAGGACGUGCAUCCGAAACUGGCGAGCUUGAGUACUGAAGAGGAUCGCGGAAUUCCCGGUGUAGAGGUGAAAUUCGUAGAUAUCGGGAGGAACACCAGUGGCGAAGGCGGCGAUCUGGGCAGAUACUGACGCUGAGGUGCGAAAGCGUGGGGAGCAAACAGG